This 229-nucleotide ribosomal RNA is filed under the name uncultured bacterium. RNAcentral's name for it is "partial 16S ribosomal RNA". It matches the Rfam family "Bacterial small subunit ribosomal RNA", at positions 568 to 796 of the family's 1533-position model. The record is from RNAcentral.
CGUGUAGGCGGCACGGUAAGUCAGAUGUGAAAGCCCUCGGCUCAACCGAGGAAGUGCAUUUGAAACUGCCGAGCUAGAGUACGGGAGAGGGUUGUAGAAUUCCAGGUGUAGAGGUGAAAUUCGUAGAUAUCUGGAGGAAUACCGGUGGCGAAGGCGGCGACCUGGACCGAUACUGACGCUGAGACGCGAAAGCGUGGGGAGCAAACAGGAUUAGAUACCCUGGUAGUCC